CCUGCCUCAAAGAGGGGGACAACAGUGGGAAACGACUGCUAAUACCGCAUAAGCCCACGGGCUCGGCAUCGAGCAGAGGGAAAAGGAGCAAUCCGCUUUGAGAUGGCCUCGCGUCCGAUUAGCUAGUUGGUGAGGUAACGGCCCACCAAGGCGACGAUCGGUAGCCGGACUGAGAGGUUGAACGGCCACAUUGGGACUGAGACACGGCCCAGACUCCUACGGGAGGCAGCAGUGGGGAAUAUUGCACAAUGGGGGAAACCCUGAUGCAGCGACGCCGCGUGGAGGAAGAAGGUCUUCGGAUUGUAAACUCCUGUUGUUGGGGAAGAUAAUGACGGUACCCAACAAGGAAGUGACGGCUAACUACGUGCCAGCAGCCGCGGUAAAACGUAGGUCACAAGCGUUGUCCGGAAUUACUGGGUGUAAAGGGAGCGCAGGCGGGAAGACAAGUUGGAAGUGAAAUCUAUGGGCUCAACCCAUAAACUGCUUUCAAAACUGUUUUUCUUGAGUAGUGCAGAGGUAGGCGGAAUUCCCGGUGUAGCGGUGGAAUGCGUAGAUAUCGGGAGGAACACCAGUGGCGAAGGCGGCCUACUGGGCACCAACUGACGCUGAGGCUCGAAAGUGGGGGUAGCAAACAGGAUUAGAUACCCUGGUAGUCCACACCGUAAACGAUGAUUACUAGGUGUUGGAGGAUUGACCCCUUCAGUGCCGCAGUUAACACAAUAAGUAAUCCACCUGGGGAGUACGACCGCAAGGUUGAAACUCAAAGGAAUUGACGGGGGCCCGCACAAGCAGUGGAGUAUGUGGUUUAAUUCGACGCAACGCGAAGAACCUUACCAAGUCUUGACAUCCCUUGACAGACAUAGAAAUAUGUAAUCUCUUCGGAGCAAGGAGACAGGUGGCGCAUGGUUGUCGUCAGCUCGUGUCGUGAGAUGUUGGGUUAAGUCCCGCAACGAGCGCAACCCUUAUGGUCAGUUACUACGCAAGAGGACUCUGGCCAGACUGCCGUUGACAAAACGGAGGAAGGUGGGGAUGACGUCAAAUCAUCAUGCCCUUUAUGACUUGGGCUACACACGUACUACAAUGGCGUUAAACAAAGAGAAGCAAGACCGCGAGGUGGAGCAAAACUCAGAAACAACGUCCCAGUUCGGACUGCAGGCUGCAACUCGCCUGCACGAAGUCGGAAUUGCUAGUAAUCGUGGAUCAGCAUGCCACGGCGAAAACGUUCCCGGGCCUUGCACACACCGCCCGUC
RNAcentral lists this ribosomal RNA (1250 nucleotides) under uncultured bacterium. RNAcentral's name for it is "bacterial SSU rRNA". It matches the Rfam family "Bacterial small subunit ribosomal RNA", at positions 125 to 1398 of the family's 1533-position model. The record is from RNAcentral.